CACGUAGGGGACGAGCGUUGUCCGGAUUCAUUGGGCGUAAAGCGCGCGUAGGCGGCUCGGAAAGUCGGUCGUGAAAUGCCGGGGCUCAACCCCGGGACUGCGUCCGAUACUUCCGGGCUGGAGGUAGGUAGGGGGAGAUCGGAAUUCCUGGUGUAGGCGGUGAAAGUGGCGCAGAUAUCAGGAGGAACACCGGUGGCGAAGGCGGAUCUCUGGGCCUUACCUGACGCUGGAGGCGCGAAAGCUAGGGGAGCGAACAGG
Molecule: ribosomal RNA, 258 nt
Filed under: uncultured bacterium
Lineage: Bacteria
Description: partial 16S ribosomal RNA
Rfam family: Bacterial small subunit ribosomal RNA
Source: RNAcentral